Molecule: long non-coding RNA, 463 nt
Filed under: Homo sapiens (human)
Lineage: Eukaryota; Metazoa; Chordata; Mammalia; Primates; Hominidae
Description: non-protein coding lnc-WDYHV1-2:1
Source: RNAcentral
CCAUGCCCUGCUCCAAAGAGACACCUGUCAUUUCCCCCGGCAAGUGGGUCUGGCUUGCACAGGAGGGUGGGGUGGGGCAUGUAGCUCCACCUUGCCUGGUUCUGGACUCAACCUGGGAGCUGGGAGUCCACACAGGCCGAGGGCUAUGACCUAUACAGUGCAUAUGAUUAUACAGUACCACCUAUGGAAGAAGCUAUCAGACAUUCAGAUAGCUGCUCCUUCUGGGUAUUAUGGAAGAGUAGCUCUACAUUUUGGCUUGGCUGCAACACUUAGGAGCUGGGUAUCUUAGAUGAAGGUUAUAGGAGAAACAUUGGUGUUUUGUCAAAGAAAAGUUUGAAGUCAAAACUUCAAGGUGAUCGAAUUGCACAGCUUAUUUGUGAAUGAAUUUUUUAUCCAGCAAUAGAACUCCAAGUUCUGAAUAACAGUGCUGAAGAGGGUUCCGUAAGUUUUGGUUGCACUGGAA